UGAAGAGGCAGGAAUGUAGUGUGACUGCUUAAUGGGUGUAGGGUUCUUAAUGGGUUUGGAGAAAAUGGAAAUGUUCCAGAAUAACACAUUGGUAAUGGUUGACUGACACUUAUGUCAUCUGCGAUGUUAACACUGAGGAGAGCUGUGCUUCCCUGGCACUUCCUGCAUGCCACUGCUCUGAGAGCUUUGCAUAUUUUACCUCCUUUAACCUUACAACAACCUCGUGGGUGUCCAAUAGCAGCAGUGCAAUUUCCGAAUGAAGGUUAUAGAGUCAAGGUGUGACAGCUUCCCAAUUAGGAAAGCUUCUGCUUCUGGGCCACUUUGGGCCUCCCCAAAAGCUACAUCUGAAUCAGAAGAGAAUCGUCCAUCACAUAUCAGUGCUUCUGCGGAGGAUCAGUGCCAGGGAAGCCCACACUGGCUCCAGGCUGGUCUCCGGUCUAACGACAUCCCGUCUCCAGUGAGUCCUGACCUACUUCCUCUUUCACAGGUUUCUAUUUCCCGAUGAUCAAACAACCACAUAAUCAGCUCUGUCAAGUUCUCCACUCGUUGAAUCUACCUGCCUUCUGGGUUCAGACGCAAAGCUCUCCAUCCUCCGCGCGCGGCUCCACCCUGUUCUCAAUCCUGCGUGUGAGGCCAUUUGAAUGAGGAACUUGGUUCAGGCCUCAGCUACAGAACAUUAAUAUUCAUGGCUAGUACUUGUAAAAAACCUUUAUUUCCAUCUUUUGUUUCUGUUGAGGGAGGGGUGUCUUCAAAUGGCCAGAAAUUCCCAAUUCCUGUUUAUUCUAUCCAGGCCUCUAUUCUCAG
This is a long non-coding RNA of Fukomys damarensis (Damara mole-rat), 804 nucleotides long. RefSeq lists it as uncharacterized. Lineage: Eukaryota; Metazoa; Chordata; Mammalia; Rodentia; Bathyergidae. The transcript is spliced from 4 exons. The record is from RefSeq and is a predicted model, not a curated record.